AGAGUUUGAUCCUGGCUCAGAUUGAACGCUGGCGGAAUGCUUUACACAUGCAAGUCGAACGAUGAACCUUAGCUUGCUAAGGGGAUUAGUGGCGAACGGGUGAGUAAUAUAUCGGAACGUGCCUUGUAAUGGGGGAUAACUAGUCGAAAGAUUAGCUAAUACCGCAUACGCCCUGAGGGGGAAAGUAGGGGAUCUUCGGACCUUACGUUAUAAGAGCGGCCGAUAUCUGAUUAGCUAGUUGGUGGGGUAAUGGCCUACCAAGGCGACGAUCAGUAGCUGGUCUGAGAGGACGACCAGCCACACUGGAACUGAGACACGGUCCAGACUCCUACGGGAGGCAGCAGUGGGGAAUUUUGGACAAUGGGCGAAAGCCUGAUCCAGCCAUUCCGCGUGAGUGAAGAAGGCCUUCGGGUUGUAAAGCUCUUUCGCAAGGGAAGAAAACUUACAUUCUAAUAAAGUGUGAGGCUGACGGUACCUUGAUAAGAAGCACCGGCUAACUACGUGCCAGCAGCCGCGGUAAUACGUAGGGUGCGAGCGUUAAUCGGAAUUACUGGGCGUAAAGCGUGCGCAGGCGGUUUGGCAAGUCAGAUGUGAAAUCCCCGAGCUCAACUUGGGAACUGCGUUUGAAACUGCCAGACUAGAAUAUGUCAGAGGGGGGUAGAAUUCCACGUGUAGCAGUGAAAUGCGUAGAGAUGUGGAGGAAUACCAAUGGCGAAGGCAGCCCCCUGGGAUAAUAUUGACGCUCAUGCACGAAAGCGUGGGGAGCAAACAGGAUUAGAUACCCUGGUAGUCCACGCCCUAAACGAUGUCUACUAGUUGUUGGUGGAGUAAAAUCCAAGAGUAACGCAGCUAACGCGUGAAGUAGACCGCCUGGGGAGUACGGUCGCAAGAUUAAAACUCAAAGGAAUUGACGG
RNAcentral lists this ribosomal RNA (914 nucleotides) under uncultured bacterium. RNAcentral describes it as "bacterial SSU rRNA". It matches the Rfam family "Bacterial small subunit ribosomal RNA", at positions 8 to 916 of the family's 1533-position model. The record is from RNAcentral.